Molecule: long non-coding RNA, 1241 nt
Organism: Cynoglossus semilaevis (tongue sole)
Lineage: Eukaryota; Metazoa; Chordata; Actinopteri; Pleuronectiformes; Cynoglossidae
Exons: 4
Source: RefSeq, a predicted model, not a curated record
UUUUUAUUUUUAUGAGUUAUGAGUUAUUAUUAAGUAAAUAUUUUCAGGUGUUGCAGCAGACCGGUGGACUCCACAAUGCCAACAAGUCUGAAGCAUCUGGUUUCUGUUACGUUAACGACAUCGUCCUGGCCAUUCUUGAGCUGCUCAAGACACUGGGGCUGGAAAGAGCAAAUACUAGGCAGUGAAUUACCCACGAAGCCAUCUAUAAAGCUGUGUGUUUUACUGUCAUAGCCAAAGUAAUGGAGAUGUACCAGCUGAGCGCAGUGGUCCACUUCCCAAGAAUGACAUUUGAUUGCAGUUUCAGCCACGGGAAGUCUGAGCCCAUGACCAAAGAAUAGCCUGUGAGGAGGUCACAGGAAUGCUGCCAACCCAGUGAAAAGGGAAGCAGAAGAGGGGUAACCUGUGGAUGAUUGACUACAGCCAGAACAAGUAGUGUUAUAGUAUUUACUUAUCUGUCUUUGCAAAAGAGAUGGAAGAGAAGGACCUUCGUUGAAUCCUGUGAGUACAUGUUGUUGACAGAACUAGCGUUGUAUGUAAUCCCUCCAUCUUUAGCUGAAGUGUUAAAGUAAAGCUAAGAAUUACUGUUGUAAUUUGACAUGUAUCGUUUUUAAAUGGGUAUCUACAGACUUUGUGAUUGUAUAUUUUGUGAAUGUGAAGUUUUGCUAUUAAGAGUCAAAAGUUAUUUCACUCAUUGUGUUUUUUUUAACUUACUGCUUACUUUUUACAAAACUAACAAAAUAAAAAAAUUGAAAAAAAAUGUUUUUGUUCUUUUCCUUUACCCUUAUCCUUAUCCUUGACUUUGACUGACAAUGCACGCCUAAAAAGGCAAUGCAAAACUCAUUCAUAUUCAAAUAUUUGGAAAGGAGUGGUCCAACAGGUUCCUUUAUUCUGGAAUAUUUACAACAGUCAAAUACAGCUCACAAUGAAAGUGACUAGCAUUAAGGCACAACGAAGUUUUACAUAACUAUACUAAAAAAACAACCUUUUUUUAAUUUUUUUCCCUUUUUCCCUAAAGAAGACAAGGCUUACGCUGGAAGGUUUACAGCAGUCAAAUACGGCACACAAUUAAUUUUUUCAUUAACUAACAAAAAAAAAACAAGUCCAAAAAGUUUCUUUCUUCACCUUUAGAAGAAGCUUCACAACUCUUAAGUCAAAUACAGCUCACAAUAAAAGUGACUAUCAGGCAAGCCCUGAAAAAAGGGACAAAUCCGAAAGAAAAAAAAAUCAGACAAAAAAAAAAA